GAGAAGAAAGAUUUAUAUUGGUGGAAAUACAGAGAAAUCAAGAGUAAACUUCUUGAUUUUCCCCAACCAGGUAACACAGGAUGCACUUUUCACUCUAACAGUGAACCACAGGAACAUAAUGUGAAAUGUCCCUCUCAAGGGAAACCCACUUGAGUAUCAUGUCUGAGCAUUGACAGAAAGCUGAUCAUGUAGCCAUUUUACCUGCACGGACAACCACAGGGAAUGAAACUCAGGACUCCAGCAGUGACAUCAGAACACUUAAGCUGCUCCAUCAUCACUAGUGCCAUUAUCCAGCUGAUAACAACAGACUGAUACAACACCAUUUCCUAAUAAAGAUCAGGAAAGGAAUGAGUCUUAGCAUGAAGCCAAUGCUGUGGGUGGCAGAAUGAAAUGAUCGCAAGAACUGGAAUCCCUAACCAUGUUGCUUAGCUGUAACAUUGACCAGCUGUAGAGCCAGU
This 458-nucleotide long non-coding RNA is filed under the name Canis lupus familiaris (dog). RNAcentral's name for it is "lncRNA (ENSCAFG00040010370.1)". The record is from RNAcentral. Lineage: Eukaryota; Metazoa; Chordata; Mammalia; Carnivora; Canidae.